Molecule: ribosomal RNA, 730 nt
Filed under: marine metagenome
Description: bacterial SSU rRNA
Rfam family: Bacterial small subunit ribosomal RNA
Source: RNAcentral
AUGCGUAGAUAUCUGAAGGAACAUCAAUGGCGAAGGCAGCUUUCUGGACUAAUACUGACACUGAGGUACGAAAGCGUGGGUAGCAAACAGGAUUAGAUACCCUGGUAGUCCACGCCGUAAACGAUGACAACUAGCCGUUGGGAGGGUUUACCUCUUAGUGGCGAAGCUAACGCGUUAAGUUGUCCGCCUGGGGAGUACGGCCGCAAGGUUAAAACUCAAAGGAAUUGACGGGGACCCGCACAAGCGGUGGAGCAUGUGGUUUAAUUCGAUGCAACGCGAAGAACCUUACCUGGUCUUGACAUACACGGAACUUUCCAGAGAUGGAUUGGUGCCUUCGGGAACCGUGAUACAGGUGCUGCAUGGCUGUCGUCAGCUCGUGUCGUGAGAUGUUGGGUUAAGUCCCGUAACGAGCGCAACCCUUAUCCUUAUUUGCCAGCACAUCAUGGUGGGAACUAUAAGGAGACUGCCGGUGAUAAACCGGAGGAAGGCGGGGACGACGUCAAGUCAUCAUGGCCCUUACGACCAGGGCUACACACGUGCUACAAUGGGAAGGACAAAGGGUUGCUAAGCCGCGAGGUGGUGCUAAUCUCAUAAACCUUUUCGUAGUCCGGAUCGGAGUCUGCAACUCGACUCCGUGAAGUCGGAAUCGCUAGUAAUCGUGGAUCAGAACGCCACGGUGAAUACGUUCCCGGGUCUUGUACACACCGCCCGUCAUACCAUGGAAGUGGGU